This 320-nucleotide unclassified non-coding RNA is filed under the name uncultured fungus. Its description in RNAcentral is "partial contains small subunit ribosomal RNA, internal transcribed spacer 1, and 5.8S ribosomal RNA". The stretch from base 1 to 73 matches the Rfam family "Eukaryotic small subunit ribosomal RNA", at positions 1759 to 1831 of the family's 1831-position model. The record is from RNAcentral. Lineage: Eukaryota; Fungi.
UCAAACUUGGUCAUUUAGAGGAAGUAAAAGUCGUAACAAGGUUUCCGUAGGUGAACCUGCGGAAGGAUCAUUACUGAGUGUUGAUCUGUUUUACGGAUCGCCUCCCACCCUUUGUUUAUCAAAACCUGUUGCUUCGGCGUUUCGAUUCUAAUCUUUUUGUCAAAAGAUUUGAACCGUUGGCUUCUUUAAAGCGAAUGUGUUAUUCGCCGAAGGACUUUUUUAUACUCUUGUUUUUACGGUUGUCUGAGUUUUGAAAUAUCAAAAAAAUUAAAACUUUCAACAACGGAUCUCUUGGUUCUGGCAUCAAUGAAGAACGCAGC